UUGGAUUCAACGCCGAAAUCUUACCGGACCGACAGCAAUAUGAAGGCCAGGCUGAAGACUUUGCCGGAUUAGCUGAGAGGUGGUGCAUGGCCGUCGUCAGUUCGUACUGUGAAGCAUCCUGUUAAGUCAGGCAACGAGCGAGACCCACGCCCACAGUUGCCAGCGUACUCUCCGGAGUGACGGGUACACUGUGGGACCGCCGCUGCUAAAGCGGAGGAAGGAAUGGGCAACGGUAGGUCAGUAUGCCCCGAAUAUCCCGGGCUACACGCGAGCUACAAUGGUUGGUACAAUGGGUAUCUACCCCGAAAGGGGACGGGAAUCUCCUAAAACCAAUCUUAGUUCGGAUUGAGGGCUGCAACUCGCCCUCAUGAAGCUGGAAUCCGUAGUAAUCGCGUUUCAACAGAACGCGGUGAAUACGUCCCUGCUCCUU
This 430-nucleotide ribosomal RNA is filed under the name uncultured Methanosaeta sp. RNAcentral describes it as "bacterial SSU rRNA". It matches the Rfam family "Archaeal small subunit ribosomal RNA", at positions 906 to 1338 of the family's 1478-position model. The record is from RNAcentral. Lineage: Archaea; Methanobacteriati; Methanobacteriota; Methanomicrobia; Methanotrichales; Methanotrichaceae.